GCUCUUGUAGCUUAUACAAAGCAUGGCACUGAAGAUGCCAAGAUGGUCGUUAACACACCCAAGAACA
This 67-nucleotide transfer RNA is filed under the name Liocichla omeiensis. RNAcentral's name for it is "tRNA-Phe". It matches the Rfam family "tRNA". From Rfam's summary of the family: Transfer RNA (tRNA) molecules are approximately 80 nucleotides in length. Lineage: Eukaryota; Metazoa; Chordata; Aves; Passeriformes; Leiothrichidae. The record is from RNAcentral.